RNAcentral lists this long non-coding RNA (327 nucleotides) under Ananas comosus (pineapple). RNAcentral describes it as "long non-coding RNA (ACOM_LNC000847)". The record is from RNAcentral. Lineage: Eukaryota; Viridiplantae; Streptophyta; Magnoliopsida; Poales; Bromeliaceae.
CCUUACAGAUACUCCUGCUCUAUCAUCAAAGGAAGAAUCAGAAGAGAUUUCUGAUCAUACCUCUGAUGUCCAGCCUUCUUCUUCUGUAAUGUACUUACCCUUAUUUUUAACUUUUUCUCUUUAACAUGCCCAAUACUUAUUUUUCCUUCUGUUUCCUUCCUAUCUGCAGUCGAUUCCAGUUUCUCCAUCGGUCCCAGCUUCAGAGAAAAGACCGAUUGAAACUGCACAAUCUAAUCCUCUGCCGCCUCCAAAACAGCGCAAAUCAGUUGCUAAAAGACCACAUUCUAAGAGAGCCGAGAAUAUUUCAUCGGCUGACAUCUCAGAAAA